This 896-nucleotide ribosomal RNA is filed under the name uncultured bacterium. RNAcentral's name for it is "bacterial SSU rRNA". It matches the Rfam family "Bacterial small subunit ribosomal RNA", at positions 8 to 916 of the family's 1533-position model. The record is from RNAcentral.
AGAGUUUGAUCCUGGCUCAGAACGAACGUUGGCGGCAUGGAUUAGGCAUGCAAGUCGAACGAAUCCCGGGGUAGCAAUACCUCGGGGGAAGUGGCGAAAGGGGCAGUAAUACAUGGAUAACCUACCCUGGGGAUGGGCAUAGCCGUUCUAACGAGCGGGUAAUACCCAGAGAUUCGGCGGCGGUGGCAUCACCGCUCCGGGAAAUGAGUUUCGCCUCGGGAGGGGUCCAUGCGAUAUCAGCUAGUUGGUGGGGUAACGGCCUACCAAGGCUUAGACGUCUAGCGGGUGUGAGAGCACGACCCGCGCCACUGGCACUGAGACACUGGCCAGACACCUACGGGUGGCUGCAGUCGAGGAUCUUCGUCAAUGGGCGCAAGCCUGAACGAGCGAUGCCGCGUGAGCGAUGAAGGCCUUCGGGUUGUAAAGCUCAAAAGGGGUGAGAAAGGGCAACUUGAUCGAACCCCAGUAAGCUCGGGCUAAGUUCGUGCCAGCAGCCGCGGUAAGACGAACCGAGCGAACGUUGUUCGGAAUCACUGGGCUUAAAGGGCGCGUAGGCGGGUGCUCAAGUCCGGGGUGAAAUCCUCCAGCUCAACUGGAGAACUGCCUCGGAUACUGGGUGCCUCGAGGGUGGUAGGGGUAUGCGGAACUAUCGGUGGAGCGGUGAAAUGCGUUGAUAUCGAUAGGAACUCCGGUGGCGAAGGCGGCAUACUGGACCACUUCUGACGCUGAGGCGCGAAAGCCAGGGGAGCAAACGGGAUUAGAUACCCCGGUAGUCCUGGCCCUAAACGAUGGGUACUAGCUAGUAGGGUUCACAUGGCUUUACUGGCGAAGCAAAAGUGCUAAGUACCCCGCCUGGGGAGUAUGGUCGCAAGGCUGAAACUCAAAUGAAUUGACGG